GCGAAUACCGGAGAAUGUUAUCACGGGAGACACACGGCGGGUGCUAACGUCCGUCGUGAAGAGGGAAACAACCCAGACCGCCAGCUAAGGUCCCAAAGUCAUGGUUAAGUGGGAAACGAUGUGGGAAGGCCCAGACAGCCAGGAUGUUGGCUUAGAAGCAGCCAUCAUUUAAAGAAAGCGUAAUAGCUCACUGGUCGAGUCGGCCUGCGCGGAAGAUGUAACGGGGCUAAACCAUGCACCGAAGCUGCGGCAGCGAACGUAUCACUUAAAGCGAUUCAGCGGGUUACGAUUGACGGAGCGAAGCGACGUCAAAGCGUAUACAAAGUCGAGUCGGUUUAAGGAUACGUUCGUUGGGUAGGGGAGCGUUCUGUAAGCCUGUGAAGGUGGCCUGUGAGGGUUGCUGGAGGUAUCAGAAGUGCGAAUGCUGACAUAAGUAACGAUAAAGCGGGUGAAAAGCCCGCUCGCCGGAAGACCAAGGGUUCCUGUCCAACGUUAAUCGGGGCAGGGUGAGUCGACCCCUAAGGCGAGGCCGAAAGGCGUAGUCGAUGGGAAACGGGUUAAUAUUCCCGUACUUGGUGUUACUGCGAAGGGGGGACGGAGAAGGCUAUGUUGGCCGGGCGACGGUUGUCCCGGUUUAAGCGUGUAGGUGUGUGUUCCAGGUAAAUCCGGUU
RNAcentral lists this ribosomal RNA (671 nucleotides) under Salmonella enterica subsp. enterica serovar Agona. RNAcentral's name for it is "partial 23S ribosomal RNA". It matches the Rfam family "Bacterial large subunit ribosomal RNA", at positions 956 to 1547 of the family's 2925-position model. The record is from RNAcentral. Lineage: Bacteria; Pseudomonadati; Pseudomonadota; Gammaproteobacteria; Enterobacterales; Enterobacteriaceae.